GGAAUACUUGUUUGGACAAGUUUGGAAGGCUGGAAAGGUCAUCUGGAAGGAAAAACCACUGUGGGAAUAUCAUCAUUAUUUAUCAAUGAGACCUUUCAUAACACUGAAUAUUUUUA
This 116-nucleotide long non-coding RNA is filed under the name Bos grunniens (domestic yak). RNAcentral's name for it is "lncRNA (ENSBGRG00000017374.1)". Lineage: Eukaryota; Metazoa; Chordata; Mammalia; Artiodactyla; Bovidae. The record is from RNAcentral.